UUAUAUACAUGCCAUUGCUUUCCAAAAUCAAUAUCUAAACGUUCGGCUUUAAAAUCUCUCCUACCACCAUUGUGUUACCUAGGCUUGUUUGUCUAUUGAUACCGUAUUAUCUCUUACUUGUUUUUCGCACGUUGACAGUGAGAGUCGUACAACGUCUACCAUGCGCGGUUGUCCGGCAGUUUUAGAGAUGAGUCUCGUGGUGUUUUGUGAUUGGCGACUGAACUAACCAUAAUGAAGAACACAAAUGUUCAUUUGUUUGCCACACCUUGUUUUGUGACUCCUCUCGGAUAUGACUGUUGACAAGUAAUCGCGUCCUUUGAAUUUAUACGACGAUGUAUACAAACUAAUUUUCAUGUAUAUUACAGCUUUGGCUGAAGAUGAUCACAAUAAAAUUCGAAAAAGGGAUCGAAACGUCCCUAGCAAUUAUUUGGUUUUAAUCUUUAUUUAAACUACCACCGCCACCAGUGGACUACAGGCUUCAAGGUCUUCAAUUUAUUUUUUUAAGAGAAUGGCAGAGAUAUUCCAUAUCAAAUUACAAAAUAAC
Pseudomyrmex gracilis is the source of this 544-nucleotide long non-coding RNA. RefSeq lists it as uncharacterized. The transcript has 3 exons. Lineage: Eukaryota; Metazoa; Arthropoda; Insecta; Hymenoptera; Formicidae. The record is from RefSeq and is a predicted model, not a curated record.